Long non-coding RNA from Triticum aestivum (bread wheat), 2414 nucleotides. RefSeq lists it as uncharacterized. Lineage: Eukaryota; Viridiplantae; Streptophyta; Magnoliopsida; Poales; Poaceae. The record is from RefSeq and is a predicted model, not a curated record. The transcript is spliced from 4 exons.
ACUCCUCGACCUCUAGAAAAAAAACUCCUACCCUCGACCAGAUCUGAUCAUCCGCCGGCCGCCCUCCACCCAACCAUUGCCGCCGUCGCGCCCCACCACCACAGCCCUGCCGUCGGCCACCACCCCGACCACCGCCGCUGUCGCCCCAACCACCCCACAACAGCGCCAGCAAGCACCGCCGCCCCCAACCAUCCCAUUGCCGCCGGCCGUCCUCAACCCAGCCGCAGCCGUCGUCGGCCCCCACCACUGCAGCCCCGCCGUUGGCCCCUACCACACCACCGCCCAUGACUGCCGUCCACCCGACCACUGCGGUCGUCGCCCCGAACCACCCCACAGUAGCACCGCCGAGCACCCAACUGACACGGACAACCACUGCCGAUGAGCCACUCCACCGGCGACCACCCUCCUCCGCCGAACGCCUUCCCUCGUCACCGCCCUAUUUCGCGAGCUUCCUCCCCCGAGUAGGACUCCUCCCUAAGCCGAUGGAGCCAGGAGUUCUUUGAAUGGGAUUGGUGAAUGCAAUAGUGUUGGUGUGUGGAUUUAUUAUCUUCUUAUGAGAGAAGAACAAGCAGGCAAGUCGAAUCAGUGGUGGUUCCGUUGGUUGCUUUGAUGUAAUAUUUGUAUUGUCUGUAGGUGAGGGUUCUGAUUUAAUCCUUUUGAACCUCAAAGAGGCUGUUAGCCUAAAUAAAUCUUUGCUCCAGGUAACCUAACUUCUAUAGCUUUUGUAUUUAGGCUUCUGUUGCAUCAGGGGCAAACAAGUGCUAUCUUGUUUGAGUUUUACUUUCCUAUAUUGCAGAGUGCUUGAUUGUAGGACUACACAUUUUACAAAGAUUUUCUCCAAACAAAUAAAUAGAAAUAUUACAUGGACGCAUAUUGGCUAUACACACUGGUACAAUUAGACACAGUUCACUUAAAUAUAGUUGUGCCUGUUGAAUUGUAAUAACUGUGGCAUUAGGUGAACUGUACCAUAGGCUGUGCACUUGCCUUAUUGUUGGAAACAGAAAUAGAGCUCUAUCUUGUUAUUUUCUCUGUAUUCUACCCUCAUGGUUCAUAGGGUAACAAGCAUAGUAUUUGAAUGAGAUGGCAUUUACUGUUGGUGGCUUAUUUGUAUGCCUAACAAGUUGGGUGCAAUGCUCAUUUGGUAAAAAAUUCUUCAUGGGUAGGUCUUUGAUCUUGUUCAUAUAUGUACACAGUGAGCUUUACGAAAUGAAUUCACUACUACUCGAAGUUUUGUGUAUGGAAGGGAGAUUGGAUAUUCGGCUCACUGUGUACUAACCAAAACAUAUUUGGAAGUGGACAAGUCCAUGGCAAAAGCAGGAAUACGACCACAAGCAAGCUGAGGAGGUAAUAUUCAUGUUUCUCUUGGCUAUUAGCUGAGGAGGUAAUUUCAUGUUUCUCUUGGCUAUUAGCUGAGGAGGUCUAAGUGGGUCAUUCUUUUUCUUGAUUGAGGUCUAUUUUUGCAUCUACUGCUCUCAACGGCGGACCCAUUAAUCAUCUACUAGGCAGUAAGCACCUCCUUGAUGCGUGCCUGGAGAAGAACGAAGCGACUCCUCAGCGAGCGACCAAACUCAGAUUUCGUUGUUUGACCGGCGACCACCGACACCUGAGUGUGGGACUGUGGGGGUGGGGGCGUGGUGCACCGGCGGACUGGACGGCGGCCGCUGUGGCUUGCCGGCAUGGGGGUGGCUGCUGGCGGGCAGCCGACUAGGCUAGGGAUUGGUGGUCAGGGGCUCCCUCCGGUUCUGCAGUCCUGACCUCGUCUCGUCGCCACGCGCAGUGCCGCAUUGAGAUGCUUCGCCCCUCCUGAGAUUUCCUUCAAGCUCCGCCACUGACUGCUCUACGUUCUCCAGAGAUAAUGGUUUUUACUAUUUGCAAUCAUGCUUCACACUCUCAUCACAAUAAAUUAGAAAAGAAUGCCGCCGGUUGUGGUUGUUGAUAUAGUUUCUUAUUCUUGCAUGCCAGCUGGUUCUUGAAGUAGAGUUGUAGACGACAUAAUCAUCUUUCGUAUUUUUGUUUGCAUGUUUCCAAGAAUUUUCAUGUCUCGAAAUCUGUACAGUACUCAAGUUUACAAAAAAAAACAUUUCAUGCAAUAAUUGUGGCUGCAACUCUUGGAAUUGGAACUGUGAAAGGAUGUGUCAUAUUUGCUUCCUAGUUUGCACUUUUUGGUCCAUGCUGUUCUUCCUAGUUUGCACCGUGCUUCUUGGUUUUACAUUCCUAAUGGCUUACAUUGGUUCUGAAUCUUCUGAUAACCAUAUGUUUACUUCAAUGAGCUUAUUUGUUUGUAUAUGUUUUCUUCUAAUGUUGUUUUCAAAUCUACGAUUUACUCUUGACCAAUAAACAUACUAGCACAUGGUCACAAACCAGUGCAUAAAUCAGCUUGUUUAUCUGUCUGUUUGUACAAAGCCUUAGUUAAA